RNAcentral lists this ribosomal RNA (180 nucleotides) under uncultured Glomeromycotina. Its description in RNAcentral is "partial small subunit ribosomal RNA". The stretch from base 91 to 180 matches the Rfam family "Eukaryotic small subunit ribosomal RNA", at positions 739 to 831 of the family's 1831-position model. The record is from RNAcentral. Lineage: Eukaryota; Fungi; Glomeromycota.
GCCUGGCAGACCGGUCCGCCUCACGGCGUGCACUGGCUCGGCCGGGUCAUCCUUCUGGGGGAGCAGCAUGCCCUUUAUUGGGUGCGCUGUUGAACCAGGACUAUUACUUUGAAAAAAUUAGAGUGUUUAAAGCAGGCCUACGCUUGAAUACAUUAGCAUGGAAUAAUAGAAUAGGACUUU